GGAUGUAUAGCUCAGUGAUAGAGUGCGUGCUUAACACACACGAAGUCCUGGCUUCAAUCCCCAUUACCUCCA
This 72-nucleotide transfer RNA is filed under the name Camelus bactrianus (Bactrian camel). It matches the Rfam family "tRNA". From Rfam's summary of the family: Transfer RNA (tRNA) molecules are approximately 80 nucleotides in length. The record is from Rfam by way of RNAcentral. RNAcentral also lists the same sequence under 2 other names. Lineage: Eukaryota; Metazoa; Chordata; Mammalia; Artiodactyla; Camelidae.